RNAcentral lists this ribosomal RNA (472 nucleotides) under Streptococcus gordonii. Its description in RNAcentral is "bacterial SSU rRNA". It matches the Rfam family "Bacterial small subunit ribosomal RNA", at positions 28 to 474 of the family's 1533-position model. Lineage: Bacteria; Bacillati; Bacillota; Bacilli; Lactobacillales; Streptococcaceae. The record is from RNAcentral.
GACGAACGCUGGCGGCGUGCCUAAUACAUGCAAGUAGAACGCACAGUUUAUACCGUAGCUUGCUACACCAUAAACUGUGAGUUGCGAACGGGUGAGUAACGCGUAGGUAACCUGCCUGGUAGCGGGGGAUAACUAUUGGAAACGAUAGCUAAUACCGCAUAAUAUUGAUUAUUGCAUGAUAAUUGAUUGAAAGAUGCUAUUGCAUCACUACCAGAUGGACCUGCGUUGUAUUAGCUAGUAGGUGAGGUAACGGCUCACCUAGGCGACGAUACAUAGCCGACCUGAGAGGGUGAUCGGCCACACUGGGACUGAGACACGGCCCAGACUCCUACGGGAGGCAGCAGUAGGGAAUCUUCGGCAAUGGACGAAAGUCUGACCGAGCAACGCCGCGUGAGUGAAGAAGGUUUUCGGAUCGUAAAGCUCUGUUGUAAGAGAAGAACGGGUGUGAGAGUGGAAAGUUCACACUGUGACG